This 525-nucleotide ribosomal RNA is filed under the name uncultured bacterium. RNAcentral's name for it is "bacterial SSU rRNA". It matches the Rfam family "Bacterial small subunit ribosomal RNA", at positions 354 to 872 of the family's 1533-position model. The record is from RNAcentral.
GUGGGGAAUAUUGGACAAUGGGCGCAAGCGUGAUCCAGCAAUACCGCGUGUGUGAAGAAGGCCUGAGGGUUGUAAAGCACUUUCAAUGGGGAGGAAAAAGGCGGGCUUAAUACGCCCGCCCUUGACAUUACCCAUAGAAGAAGCACCGGCUAACUCCGUGCCAGCAGCCGCGGUAAUACGGAGGGUGCGAGCGUUAAUCGGAAUUACUGGGCGUAAAGCGUGCGUAGGCGGCCUUUUAAGUCAGAUGUGAAAGCCCUGGGCUCAACCUGGGAACGGCAUUUGAAACUGGGGGGCUAGAGUUGGGUAGAGGGGAGUGGAAUUCCGGGUGUAGCGGUGAAAUGCGUAGAUAUCCGGAGGAACACCAGUGGCGAAGGCGGCUCCCUGGACCCAAACUGACGCUGAGGUACGAAAGCGUGGGUAGCAAACAGGAUUAGAUACCCUGGUAGUCCACGCCGUAAACGAUGUCGACUAGCCGUUGGCCCCUUACGGGGGUUAGUGGCGCAGCUAACGCAUUAAGUCGACCGC